Molecule: ribosomal RNA, 497 nt
Filed under: uncultured bacterium
Lineage: Bacteria
Description: partial 16S ribosomal RNA
Rfam family: Bacterial small subunit ribosomal RNA
Source: RNAcentral
GAUGAACGCUGGCGGCGUGCCUAAUACAUGCAAGUCGAGCGAACAGACGAGGAGCUUGCUCCUCUGACGUUAGCGGCGGACGGGUGAGUAACACGUGGAUAACCUACCUAUAAGACUGGGAUAACUUCGGGAAACCGGAGCUAAUACCGGAUAAUAUAUUGAACCGCAUGGUUCAAUAGUGAAAGACGGUUUUGCUGUCACUUAUAGAUGGAUCCGCGCCGCAUUAGCUAGUUGGUAAGGUAACGGCUUACCAAGGCAACGAUGCGUAGCCGACCUGAGAGGGUGAUCGGCCACACUGGAACUGAGACACGGUCGAGACUCCUACGGGAGGAAGCAGUAGGGAAUCUUCCGCAAUGGGCGAAAGCUUGACGGAGCAACGCCGCGUGAGUGAUGAAGGUCUUCGGAUCGUAAAACUCUGUUAUUAGGGAAGAACAAAUGUGUAAGUAACUAUGCACGUCUUGACGGUACCUAAUCAGAAAGCCACGGCUAACUACGUG